CCUACGGGGGGCAGCAGUGGGGAAUAUUGGGCAAUGGGCGCAACUCUGACCCAGCAACGCCGCGUGAAGGAUGAAGGUCUUCGGGUUGUAAAGUUCUUUUCUCAGGGACGAAGAAAGUGACGGUACCUGAGGAAUAAGCCACGGCUAACUACGUGCCAGCAGCCGCGGUAAUACGUAGGUGGCGAGCGUUAUCCGGAUUGACUGGGCGUAAAGGGCGUGUAGGCGGGUGCGCAAGUUAGUAGUGAAACCUCAGGGCUCAACCCUGAGCCUGCUUUUGAAACUGUGUGUCUUGAGUGCAGGAGAGGCAAUCGGAAUUCCGAGUGUAGCGGUGGAAUGCGUAGAUAUACGGAGGAACACCAGUGGCGAAGGCGGAUUGCUGGACAGUAACUGACGCUGAGGCGCGAAAGCGUGGGGAGCAAACAGGAUUAGAUACCCCUGUAGUC
RNAcentral lists this ribosomal RNA (443 nucleotides) under uncultured bacterium. RNAcentral describes it as "partial 16S ribosomal RNA". It matches the Rfam family "Bacterial small subunit ribosomal RNA", at positions 338 to 795 of the family's 1533-position model. The record is from RNAcentral.